This 74-nucleotide transfer RNA is filed under the name Nitrososphaerota archaeon. RNAcentral describes it as "Thaumarchaeota archaeon tRNA-His". It matches the Rfam family "tRNA". From Rfam's summary of the family: Transfer RNA (tRNA) molecules are approximately 80 nucleotides in length. Their secondary structure includes four short double-helical elements and three loops (D, anti-codon, and T loops). Lineage: Archaea; Thermoproteati; Nitrososphaerota. The record is from RNAcentral.
GCCGCGGUGGUGUAGCUUGGUAACAUGGGAGGCUGUGGACCUCUUGAUCGGGGGUUCGAGUCCCCCCCGCGGCC